GGCAGUUUAGUUUAAUGGUAAAGCAUUCAGCUGAAGUCUUUGAAGGAUAUGGGUUCAUGUCCCAUGGCUGGUU
This is a non-coding RNA of Octopus bimaculoides (California two-spot octopus), 73 nucleotides long. The record is from Rfam. Lineage: Eukaryota; Metazoa; Mollusca; Cephalopoda; Octopoda; Octopodidae.